Molecule: non-coding RNA, 21 nt
Filed under: Caenorhabditis elegans
Lineage: Eukaryota; Metazoa; Nematoda; Chromadorea; Rhabditida; Rhabditidae
Source: RNAcentral
UGGAGUUCUAUGAAAUUUUGA